GGGUGAUCCUGCCGGAGGUCACUGCUAUCGGGGUUCGACUAAGCCAUGCAAGUCGAGAGGGGUAAAGCCCUCGGCGAACUGCUCAGUAACACGUGGAUAACUGACCUAGGGUGGAGGAUAACCCCGGGAAACUGGGGAUAAUACUCCAUAGGCUACGGAAGCUGGAAUGCUCUAUAACCGAAAGUUCAGGCGCCCUAGGAUGGGUCUGCGGCCGAUUAGGUUGUUGUUGGGGUAACGGCCCAACAAGCCGAUCAUCGGUACGGGUUGUGGGAGCAAGAGCCCGGAGAUGGAUUCUGAGACAUGAAUCCAGGCCCUACGGGGCGCAGCAGGCGCGAAAACUUUACAAUGCGGGAAACCGUGAUAAGGGGACCCCGAGUGCCUGUACACGCAGGCUGUUCAGGUGUUUAAAACGCAUCUGGAGAAAGGGCCGGGCAAGACCGGUGCCAGCCGCCGCGGUAAUACCGGCGGCUCGAGUGGUGGCCACUAUUACUGGGCUUAAAGCGUCCGUAGCCGGGUUGUUAAGUCUCCUGGGAAAUCCAACGGCUCAACCGUUGGGCGUUCAGGGGAUACUGGCAAUCUAGGGAUCGGGGGAGGUGAGAGGUACUCUAGGGGUAGGAGUGAAAUCCUGUAAUCCUUGGGGGACCACCUGUGGCGAAGGCGUCUCACCAGAACGACUCCGACGGUGAGGGACGAAAGCUGGGGGAGCAAACCGGAUUAGAUACCCGGGUAGUCCCAGCUGUAAACGAUGCGCGUUAGGUGUAUCGGUGACUACGAGUUACCGAGGUGCCGAAGGGAAACCGUGAAACGUGCCGCCUGGGAAGUACGGUCGCAAGGCUGAAACUUAAAGGAAUUGGCGGGGGAGCACCACAACGGGUGGAGCCUGCGGUUUAAUUGGAUUCAACGCCGGG
This 908-nucleotide ribosomal RNA is filed under the name uncultured archaeon. Its description in RNAcentral is "bacterial SSU rRNA". It matches the Rfam family "Archaeal small subunit ribosomal RNA", at positions 6 to 922 of the family's 1478-position model. The record is from RNAcentral.